ARAACAACUCUCAGCAACGGAUAUCUUGGCUCUUGCAACGAUGAAGAACGCAGCGAAAUGCGAUACGUAGUGUGAAUUGCAGAAUUCCGCGAAUCAUCGAGUCUUUGAACGCAAGUUGCGCCCUAGGCUUGUCCUCGGGCAUUUCUGCCUGAUCGUCAUC
Molecule: ribosomal RNA, 160 nt
Filed under: Discelium nudum
Lineage: Eukaryota; Viridiplantae; Streptophyta; Bryopsida; Funariales; Disceliaceae
Description: 5.8S ribosomal RNA
Rfam family: 5.8S ribosomal RNA
About the family: 5.8S ribosomal RNA (5.8S rRNA) is a component of the large subunit of the eukaryotic ribosome. It is transcribed by RNA polymerase I as part of the 45S precursor that also contains 18S and 28S rRNA.
Source: RNAcentral